This 420-nucleotide ribosomal RNA is filed under the name uncultured eukaryote. RNAcentral's name for it is "bacterial SSU rRNA". It matches the Rfam family "Eukaryotic small subunit ribosomal RNA", at positions 592 to 1018 of the family's 1831-position model. The record is from RNAcentral.
CAAUAGCGUAUAUUAAAGUUGUUGCGGUUAAAAAGCUCGUAGUUGGAUUUCUGCCGAGGACGACCGGUCCGCCCUCUGGGUGAGUAUCUGGCUUGGCCUGGGCAUCUUCUUGGAGAACGUAGCUGCACUUGACUGUGUGGUGCGGUAUCCAGGACUUUUACCUUGAAAAAUUAGAGUGUUCAAAGCAGGCGUUUGCUUGAAUAUAUUAGCAUGGAAUAAUGGAAUAGGACGCUGGUUCUAUUUUGUUGGUUUUGAGAACCAGAGUAAUGAUUAAUAGGGACAGUUGGGGGCAUUCAUAUUUCAUUGUCAGAGGUGAAAUUCUUGGAUUCACUCAAGACUAACUUAUGCGAAAGCAUUCACCAAGGAUGUCUUCUUUAAUCAAGAACGAAAGUUGGGGGAUCGAAGACGAUCAGAUACCGU